CGAACGGGUGAGUAACGCGUGAGGAACCUGCCUCAAAGAGGGGGACAACAGUUGGAAACGACUGCUAAUACCGCAUAAGCCCACGGUGCCGCAUGGCACAGAGGGAAAAGGAGCAAUCCGCUUUGAGAUGGCCUCGCGUCCGAUUAGCUAGUUGGUGAGGUAACGGCCCACCAAGGCGACGAUCGGUAGCCGGACUGAGAGGUUGAACGGCCACAUUGGGACUGAGGCACGGCCCAG
Molecule: ribosomal RNA, 237 nt
Filed under: uncultured bacterium
Lineage: Bacteria
Description: partial 16S ribosomal RNA
Rfam family: Bacterial small subunit ribosomal RNA
Source: RNAcentral